GACGAACGCUGGCGGCGUGCUUAACACAUGCAAGUCGAACGGAAAGGCCCGUUUGUGGGUACUCGAGUGGCGAACGGGUGCGUAACACGUACGUAUCCUUCCCUUAACUUCGGGAUAACUUCAGGAAACUGGGGCUAAUGCCGGUAAGGGAUCAUUGCUGCAUGGGGGGGGUUGGAAAGCUUCGGCGGUUAUGGAUGGACUCGCGGCUUAUCAGCUUGUUGGUGGGGUAGUGGCUUACCGAGGCGUUGACGGGUAGCAGGCCUGCGGAGGCGACCGGCCACAUUGACACUGAGAGACGGCCGAGGCUCCGACGGGAGGGAGAAGGGGGGAAGAUUGACAGAUGGGCGGAGGCCUAAUGCAGAAACGCCGCGGGCGGGAUGACGGUGUUCGGGUUGGAAACCGCAUUCAGCAGGGGCGAAGCUUGUGGUGACGGUACCUGAAGAAGAAGCACCGGCUAACUACGUG
This 465-nucleotide ribosomal RNA is filed under the name uncultured bacterium. RNAcentral's name for it is "partial 16S ribosomal RNA". It matches the Rfam family "Bacterial small subunit ribosomal RNA", at positions 28 to 507 of the family's 1533-position model. The record is from RNAcentral.